GAAAUUGGUUUUUUUAAACUUAUUAAUUUAUUAAAUAUUAAAUAUUAAAAAUUAAAUAUAAAGAGUAGACCGACAUAUUUGUAUUUACAGGGACAACAGGUAUUCAUGUGCCGAUUCAAGACUUGCAGCCACUUUGAUGAAAACAAACUUUGCAAUCUUCUCAAAAGUCACGAGUGAAAGAGUUCGGUUGGUUGCAUGCAGCCAGGUUUAUUCUACAAGGACUUCAUCCUCUUUAAUUAGUGCCAAAUGAGCUUUAGGAUUAUACUUAUUUACCUAGUAUGAAAAUGAAAACAUGUUUGCCAAGUAUUAUGCAGGAAUGCUCGUUUGAACUUUUCCUGGUUUCAUGCAAAUUUUAAGUGUUUAAUUAGCCUUUUGUAGCACUAAGCAUUUUCUAGUGGAUUAAAAUGGAUUUGGCCGGACAUGCUAUAUGUGGCAGGUCCUAAACACUUGAGAAGGAUUUGAAUAUGGAGGAUCUAACACAAUGACGAAUUUCACAUCGAUGUUUAUGGUGACUGCUACAUUGGGUCCUGAACCUCCUCUUUGUGUUUCAGGAUGUUAAUUUUCCAAUGCUGUUUCUUUAUCACCCUGCGAGUUCAUCUUGUAAUUUAACCUGUUCAGGAAAAUUUCUAUUGAGCUUCGUCAUUAGUCGUUCGUACUUUUCAGGUGAUAUGUUAACUCAUUUGUCAGCAUAAAGAUUUCAAUGCAGGUUCCUGGCAGUGCUCUAUCAACUGAAAGGGGAGGUCACAGACAUUGUUUCUGUUGCACUGAGGCUGGAUUACUACAGAACAAAAUCAGAGUUGCCUGCUGCAGAAUCUCAAGAUUACCAGGCAGGAAAUCGACCAAAGAUUAGCUUGUAAUGUCCGUGAGCCUUGAUUUCUGGACCAGAGAUAUAUGGUUAACUAACAUCCUCAACUGGGAAUUUAUAAUUUUAUGCUCUCAAACUCAAGUUUCCGACUGAAAACAAAGAAAGCAAUGAUAUGGACAAAAGAAUGUGCAAGUGGAAUGAUGCUGCACAUGGGUACUUUCAAUAUAGUAUUCAUCAGGAUUUUGAUAAAAGGACAUGUGAUUCUUCUAGUCAAGGCCUCUCUCCACUAGGCUUUUUGUCUCUUUAUUUCACGAAUGGACUCGAAGACAAUGCACAAAUACAAACAAACCAUAAUUGUGUGUGCAUGCACAAAACAAAACAUAUUGUUAAGCAACAAAUUCAGUGAUACCUCUUGUUUUCUAUCUGAAAUUUCCUUAUUCCUAUCUGCAUCUUUCACCUAAUACAUCUCUGACCCACUUCUUCUCGUCCUGAAUAUAAUCUCACAAGCCUGUAGUUUACAUCAACAACGGCUUAGACUUGACCGUUUUCCUCUGUCUGAAUGUGUUAAACGAGGCAGUAACUUCUGCCAAGCUAGGCCAUACUUCUUCUUACAAAAAAGAAAAAAGCAAGAGAUCGGCAGUCUAAUCUUAUUCCAAUUAAUACAA
Ricinus communis (castor bean) is the source of this 1470-nucleotide long non-coding RNA. RefSeq lists it as uncharacterized. The record is from RefSeq and is a predicted model, not a curated record. The transcript is spliced from 2 exons. NCBI's taxonomy places the organism in Eukaryota, Viridiplantae, Streptophyta, Magnoliopsida, Malpighiales, Euphorbiaceae.